CGUGGGUAACCUGCCUUAUAGUGGGGGAUAGCCUUUCGAAAGGAAGAUUAAUACCGCAUAAGAUUGUAGUAUCGCAUGAUAUAGCAAUUAAAGGAGCAAUUCGCCAUAAGAUGGACCCGCGUCGCAUUAGCUAGUUGGUGAGGUAAUGGCUCACCAAGGCGACGAUGCGUAGCCGACCUGAGAGGGUGAUCGGCCACAUUGGGACUGAGACACGGCCCAGACUCCUACGGGAGGCAGCAUG
RNAcentral lists this ribosomal RNA (241 nucleotides) under uncultured bacterium. Its description in RNAcentral is "partial 16S ribosomal RNA". It matches the Rfam family "Bacterial small subunit ribosomal RNA", at positions 116 to 353 of the family's 1533-position model. The record is from RNAcentral.